GAUGAACGCUAGCUACAGGCUUAACACAUGCAAGUCGAGGGGCAGCGGUAUCGAAAGCUUGCUUUCGGUAGCCGGCGACCGGCGCACGGGAGAGUAACGCGUAUCGAACCUGCCUCAUACUCGGGAAUAGCCUUGCGAAAGUAAGAUUAAUGCCCGGUGUUUUCAGAGUCCCGCAUGAGGCUUUGAACAAAGAUUUAUCGGUAUGAGAUGGCGAUGCGUCCCAUUAGCUUGUUGGCGGGGUAACGGCCCACCAAGGCAUCGAUGGGUAGGGGUUCUGAGAGGAAGGUCCCCCACAUUGGAACUGAGACACGGUCCAAACUCCUACGGGAGGCAGCAGUGGAGAAUAUUGGUCAAUGGGCGGAAGCCUGCACCAGCCAAGUAGCGUGCAGGAAGACGGCCCUCCGGGUUGUAAACUGCUUUUAGUUGGGAAUAAAACGGGGCUCGUGAGCCCCCUUGCAUGUACCAUCAGAAAAAGGACCGGCUAAUUCCGUGCCAGCCGCCGCCGUAA
Molecule: ribosomal RNA, 508 nt
Filed under: uncultured bacterium
Lineage: Bacteria
Description: partial 16S ribosomal RNA
Rfam family: Bacterial small subunit ribosomal RNA
Source: RNAcentral